RNAcentral lists this ribosomal RNA (372 nucleotides) under Discoglossus sardus (Tyrrhenian painted frog). RNAcentral describes it as "partial 12S ribosomal RNA". It matches the Rfam family "Bacterial small subunit ribosomal RNA", at positions 847 to 1385 of the family's 1533-position model. The record is from RNAcentral. Lineage: Eukaryota; Metazoa; Chordata; Amphibia; Anura; Alytidae.
CAUUGACCACUUACACAAACAAUCCGCCAGGGAACUACGAGCCUCAGCUUAAAACCCAAAGGACUUGGCGGUGCCCCAAACCCACCUAGAGGAGCCUGUUCUAUAAUCGAUAACCCCCGCUUAACCUCACCACUUCUUGCCGAAACCGCCUAUAUACCACCGUCGCCAGCCCACCCCGUGAGGGGAAUGCAGUAGGCAAAAUGGCCCUCGCCAGAACGUCAGGUCAAGGUGUAGCGUAUGAAGUGGAAAGAAAUGGGCUACAUUUUCUGACUCAGAACAACACGAAAGGUCACUAUGAAACCUGACCCAAAGGAGGAUUUAGUAGUAAAGAGAAACAAGAGAGUUCCCUUUAACUCGGCCCUGGGGCGCGCA